RNAcentral lists this ribosomal RNA (500 nucleotides) under uncultured bacterium. RNAcentral describes it as "partial 16S ribosomal RNA". It matches the Rfam family "Bacterial small subunit ribosomal RNA", at positions 30 to 523 of the family's 1533-position model. The record is from RNAcentral.
AUUGAACGCUGGCGGAAUGCUUUACACAUGCAAGUCGAACGGCAGCACGGACUUCGGUCUGGUGGCGAGUGGCGAACGGGUGAGUAAUGUAUCGGAACGUGCCCAGUCGUGGGGGACAACGUAGUGAAAAUUACGCUAAUACCGCAUACGAUCUAUGGAUGAAAGCGGGGGAGCGCAAGACCUCGCGCGAUUGGAGCGGCCGAUAUCAGAUUAGGUAGUUGGUGGGGUAAAGGCACACCAAGCCAACGAUCUGUAGCUGGUCUGAGAGGACGACCAGCCACACUGGAACUGAGACACGGUCCAGACUCCUACGGGAGGCAGCAGUGGGGAAUUUUGGACAAUGGGCGAAAGCCUGAUCCAGCCAUUCCGCGUGCAGGAUGAAGGCCCUCGGGUUGUAAACUGCUUUUGUACAGAACGAAAAGGUUUCUACUAAUACUAGGAGCUCAUGACGGUACUGUAAGAAUAAGCACCGGCUAACUACGUGCCAGCAGCCGCCGUAA